GACGAACGCUAGCGGCGUGCUUAACACAUGCAAGUCGAACGGAAAGGCCCUGCUUUUGUGGGGUGCUCGAGUGGCGAACGGGUGAGUAACACGUGAGUAACCUGCCCUUGACUUUGGGAUAACUUCAGGAAACUGGGGCUAAUACCGGAUAGGAGCUCCUGCUGCAUGGUGGGGGUUGGAAAGUUUCGGCGGUUGGGGAUGGACUCGCGGCUUAUCAGCUUGUUGGUGGGGUAGUGGCUUACCAAGGCUUUGACGGGUAGCCGGCCUGAGAGGGUGACCGGCCACAUUGGGACUGAGAUACGGCCCAGACUCCUACGGGAGGCAGCAGUGGGGAAUAUUGCACAAUGGGCGGAAGCCUGAUGCAGCAACGCCGCGUGCGGGAUGACGGCCUUCAGGUUGUAAACCGCUUUCGCCUGUGACGAAGCGUGAGUGACGGUAAUGGGUAAAGAAGCACCGGCUAACUACGUG
This 468-nucleotide ribosomal RNA is filed under the name uncultured bacterium. RNAcentral describes it as "partial 16S ribosomal RNA". It matches the Rfam family "Bacterial small subunit ribosomal RNA", at positions 28 to 507 of the family's 1533-position model. The record is from RNAcentral.